This 370-nucleotide long non-coding RNA is filed under the name Medicago truncatula (barrel medic). Its description in RNAcentral is "lncRNA gene18348". Lineage: Eukaryota; Viridiplantae; Streptophyta; Magnoliopsida; Fabales; Fabaceae. The record is from RNAcentral.
GAUUUCCUCUUUUCUUCUUCUCCAUACGCGCAUCAAUUUCUCCUUCUUGAACCACCAUUACUCCACUGUCUGACAUCGUUUUACCACACCACCACCACCACUGAACUACUCUCAUCUUCCCCAUAAUGUCUGCAACAAAACCCCUAAAUUUAUUUUGGGAUCGAAAAACUUUCACCGACGAUCACCGCGUCGGAAACUAGUGCGACCUCGCCGGCGACCACUACUUAAUUUCUGCAAAAACUUAUGAACCAUGGAAAAACAACACAGUGUUGCAACAGCGCCGGAAAUCAUCUACGCAACACAACACAAUGCUGUAGAAAUUGUUAGGGGAUGUUCAAUGAGACAAUCACUUAAAUUGUCAGGGGAGUAG